GAUGUUACAGGACAUCCGAUAAAAUUGGAACGAUAUAGAGAAGAUUAGCAUGGCCCCUACGCAAGGAUGACACGCAUAAAACGAGAAAUUGUGGUUUUAUGU
Molecule: small nuclear RNA, 102 nt
Organism: Malus domestica (apple)
Lineage: Eukaryota; Viridiplantae; Streptophyta; Magnoliopsida; Rosales; Rosaceae
Source: RefSeq, a predicted model, not a curated record